RNAcentral lists this ribosomal RNA (350 nucleotides) under Escherichia coli. RNAcentral describes it as "bacterial SSU rRNA". It matches the Rfam family "Bacterial small subunit ribosomal RNA", at positions 1183 to 1533 of the family's 1533-position model. The record is from RNAcentral. Lineage: Bacteria; Pseudomonadati; Pseudomonadota; Gammaproteobacteria; Enterobacterales; Enterobacteriaceae.
CGUCAAGUCAUCAUGGCCCUUACGACCAGGGCUACACACGUGCUACAAUGGUAGGUACAGAGGGUUGCUACACAGCGAUGUGAUGCUAAUCUCAAAAAGCCUAUCGUAGUCCGGAUUGGAGUCUGCAACUCGACUCCAUGAAGUCGGAAUCGCUAGUAAUCGCAGAUCAGAAUGCUGCGGUGAAUACGUUCCCGGGCCUUGUACACACCGCCCGUCACACCAUGGGAGUCUAUUGCACCAGAAGUAGGUAGCCUAACGCAAGAGGGCGCUUACCACGGUGUGGUCGAUGACUGGGGUGAAGUCGUAACAAGGUAGCCGUAGGGGAACCUGCGGCUGGAUCACCUCCUUAA